RNAcentral lists this ribosomal RNA (2939 nucleotides) under Pseudomonas aeruginosa. RNAcentral describes it as "23S ribosomal RNA". It matches the Rfam family "Bacterial large subunit ribosomal RNA". Lineage: Bacteria; Pseudomonadati; Pseudomonadota; Gammaproteobacteria; Pseudomonadales; Pseudomonadaceae. The record is from RNAcentral.
GUUAUAUGGUCAAGUGAAGAAGCGCAUACGGUGGAUGCCUUGGCAGUCAGAGGCGAUGAAAGACGUGGUAGCCUGCGAAAAGCUUCGGGGAGUCGGCAAACAGACUUUGAUCCGGAGAUCUCUGAAUGGGGGAACCCACCUAGGAUAACCUAGGUAUCUUGUACUGAAUCCAUAGGUGCAAGAGGCGAACCAGGGGAACUGAAACAUCUAAGUACCCUGAGGAAAAGAAAUCAACCGAGAUUCCCUUAGUAGUGGCGAGCGAACGGGGAUUAGCCCUUAAGCUUCAUUGAUUUUAGCGGAACGCUCUGGAAAGUGCGGCCAUAGUGGGUGAUAGCCCCGUACGCGAAAGGAUCUUUGAAGUGAAAUCGAGUAGGACGGAGCACGAGAAACUUUGUCUGAACAUGGGGGGACCAUCCUCCAAGGCUAAAUACUACUGACUGACCGAUAGUGAACCAGUACCGUGAGGGAAAGGCGAAAAGAACCCCGGAGAGGGGAGUGAAAUAGAACCUGAAACCGUAUGCGUACAAGCAGUGGGAGCCUACUUGUUAGGUGACUGCGUACCUUUUGUAUAAUGGGUCAGCGACUUAUAUUCAGUGGCAAGCUUAACCGUAUAGGGUAGGCGUAGCGAAAGCGAGUCUUAAUAGGGCGUUUAGUCGCUGGGUAUAGACCCGAAACCGGGCGAUCUAUCCAUGAGCAGGUUGAAGGUUAGGUAACACUGACUGGAGGACCGAACCCACUCCCGUUGAAAAGGUAGGGGAUGACUUGUGGAUCGGAGUGAAAGGCUAAUCAAGCUCGGAGAUAGCUGGUUCUCCUCGAAAGCUAUUUAGGUAGCGCCUCAUGUAUCACUCUGGGGGGUAGAGCACUGUUUCGGCUAGGGGGUCAUCCCGACUUACCAAACCGAUGCAAACUCCGAAUACCCAGAAGUGCCGAGCAUGGGAGACACACGGCGGGUGCUAACGUCCGUCGUGAAAAGGGAAACAACCCAGACCGCCAGCUAAGGUCCCAAAGUUGUGGUUAAGUGGUAAACGAUGUGGGAAGGCUUAGACAGCUAGGAGGUUGGCUUAGAAGCAGCCAUCCUUUAAAGAAAGCGUAAUAGCUCACUAGUCGAGUCGGCCUGCGCGGAAGAUGUAACGGGGCUCAAACCACACACCGAAGCUGCGGGUGUCACGUAAGUGACGCGGUAGAGGAGCGUUCUGUAAGCCUGUGAAGGUGAGUUGAGAAGCUUGCUGGAGGUAUCAGAAGUGCGAAUGCUGACAUGAGUAACGACAAUGGGUGUGAAAAACACCCACGCCGAAAGACCAAGGGUUCCUGCGCAACGUUAAUCGACGCAGGGUUAGUCGGUUCCUAAGGCGAGGCUGAAAAGCGUAGUCGAUGGGAAACAGGUUAAUAUUCCUGUACUUCUGGUUACUGCGAUGGAGGGACGGAGAAGGCUAGGCCAGCUUGGCGUUGGUUGUCCAAGUUUAAGGUGGUAGGCUGAAAUCUUAGGUAAAUCCGGGGUUUCAAGGCCGAGAGCUGAUGACGAGUCGUCUUUUAGAUGACGAAGUGGUUGAUGCCAUGCUUCCAAGAAAAGCUUCUAAGCUUCAGGUAACCAGGAACCGUACCCCAAACCGACACAGGUGGUCGGGUAGAGAAUACCAAGGCGCUUGAGAGAACUCGGGUGAAGGAACUAGGCAAAAUGGCACCGUAACUUCGGGAGAAGGUGCGCCGGCUAGGGUGAAGGAUUUACUCCGUAAGCUCUGGCUGGUCGAAGAUACCAGGCCGCUGCGACUGUUUAUUAAAAACACAGCACUCUGCAAACACGAAAGUGGACGUAUAGGGUGUGACGCCUGCCCGGUGCCGGAAGGUUAAUUGAUGGGGUUAGCGCAAGCGAAGCUCUUGAUCGAAGCCCCGGUAAACGGCGGCCGUAACUAUAACGGUCCUAAGGUAGCGAAAUUCCUUGUCGGGUAAGUUCCGACCUGCACGAAUGGCGUAACGAUGGCGGCGCUGUCUCCACCCGAGACUCAGUGAAAUUGAAAUCGCUGUGAAGAUGCAGUGUAUCCGCGGCUAGACGGAAAGACCCCGUGAACCUUUACUGUAGCUUUGCACUGGACUUUGAGCCUGCUUGUGUAGGAUAGGUGGGAGGCUUUGAAGCGUGGACGCCAGUUCGCGUGGAGCCAUCCUUGAAAUACCACCCUGGCAUGCUUGAGGUUCUAACUCUGGUCCGURAUCCGGAUCGAGGACAGUGUAUGGUGGGCAGUUUGACUGGGGCGGUCUCCUCCUAAAGAGUAACGGAGGAGUACGAAGGUGCGCUCAGACCGGUCGGAAAUCGGUCGCAGAGUAUAAAGGCAAAAGCGCGCUUGACUGCGAGACAGACACGUCGAGCAGGUACGAAAGUAGGUCUUAGUGAUCCGGUGGUUCUGUAUGGAAGGGCCAUCGCUCAACGGAUAAAAGGUACUCCGGGGAUAACAGGCUGAUACCGCCCAAGAGUUCAUAUCGACGGCGGUGUUUGGCACCUCGAUGUCGGCUCAUCACAUCCUGGGGCUGAAGCCGGUCCCAAGGGUAUGGCUGUUCGCCAUUUAAAGUGGUACGCGAGCUGGGUUUAGAACGUCGUGAGACAGUUCGGUCCCUAUCUGCCGUGGACGUUUGAGAUUUGAGAGGGGCUGCUCCUAGUACGAGAGGACCGGAGUGGACGAACCUCUGGUGUUCCGGUUGUCACGCCAGUGUCUGGUGUUCCGGUUGUCACGCCAGUGGCAUUGCCGGGUAGCUAUGUUCGGAAAAGAUAACCGCUGAAAGCAUCUAAGCGGGAAACUUGCCUCAAGAUGAGAUCUCACUGGGAACUUGAUUCCCCUGAAGGGCCGUCGAAGACUACGACGUUGAUAGGCUGGGUGUGUAAGCGUUGUGAGGCGUUGAGCUAACCAGUACUAAUUGCCCGUGAGGCUUGACCAUAUAACACCCAAACA